This 66-nucleotide transfer RNA is filed under the name Ochthebius glaber. RNAcentral describes it as "tRNA-Asp". Lineage: Eukaryota; Metazoa; Arthropoda; Insecta; Coleoptera; Hydraenidae. The record is from RNAcentral.
AAAAAAUUAGUUAAUUUAUAACGUUAGUUUGUCAUACUAAAAUUAUUAAACCCUUAAUAUUUUUUA